AGCGAACGCUGGCGGCAGGCCUAACACAUGCAAGUCGAACGAACCUUUCGGGGUUAGUGGCGGACGGGUGAGUAACACGUGGGAACGUGCCUUUAGGUUCGGAAUAACUCAGGGAAACUUGUGCUAAUACCGAAUGUGCCCUUCGGGGGAAAGAUUUAUCGCCUUUAGAGCGGCCCGCGUCUGAUUAGCUAGUUGGUUGAGGUAAUGGCUCACCAAGGCGACGAUCAGUAGCUGGUCUGAGAGGAUGAUCAGCCACAUGGGGACUGAGACACGGCCCAAACUCCUACGGGAGGCAGCAGUGGGGAAUCUUGCGCAAUGGGCGAAAGCCUGACGCAGCCAUGCCGCGUGAAUGAUGAAGGUCUUAGGAUUGUAAAAUUCUUUCACCGGGGACGAUAAUGACGGUACCCGGAGAAGAAGCCCCGGCUAACUUCGUG
This 434-nucleotide ribosomal RNA is filed under the name uncultured bacterium. Its description in RNAcentral is "partial 16S ribosomal RNA". It matches the Rfam family "Bacterial small subunit ribosomal RNA", at positions 29 to 507 of the family's 1533-position model. The record is from RNAcentral.